GACGAACGCUGGCGGCGUGCCUAAUACAUGCAAGUAGAACGCUGAAGGAGGAGCUUGCUUCUCUGGAUGAGUUGCGAACGGGUGAGUAACGCGUAGGUAACCUGCCUGGUAGCGGGGGAUACCUAUUGGAAACGAUAGCUAAUACCGCAUAAUAGUAGAUGUUGCAUGACAUUUGCUUAAAAGGUGCAAUUGCAUCACUACCAGAUGGACCUGCGUUGUAUUAGCUAGUUGGUGGGGUAACGGCUCACCAAGGCGACGAUACAUGGCCGACCUGAGAGGGUGAUCGGACACACUGGGACUGAGACACGGCCCAGACUCCUACGGGAGGCAGCAGUAGGGAAUCUUUGGCAAUGGACGGAAGUCUGACCGAGCAACGCCGCGUGAGUGAAGAAGGUUUUCGGAUCGUAAAGCUCUGUUGUAAGAGAAGAACGAGUGUGAGAGUGGAAAGUUCACACUGUGACGGUAUCUUACCAGAAAGGGACGGCUAACUACGU
Molecule: ribosomal RNA, 494 nt
Filed under: uncultured bacterium
Lineage: Bacteria
Description: partial 16S ribosomal RNA
Rfam family: Bacterial small subunit ribosomal RNA
Source: RNAcentral